This is an RNA transcript of Cucurbita pepo subsp. pepo (vegetable marrow), 881 nucleotides long. It is a transcript of the gene named kinetochore protein SPC24 homolog, with no coding region annotated. NCBI's taxonomy places the organism in Eukaryota, Viridiplantae, Streptophyta, Magnoliopsida, Cucurbitales, Cucurbitaceae. The record is from RefSeq and is a predicted model, not a curated record.
UGGAAAAAAACAAAAUGAGAGGUAGAUUUUAAAUUUGUAUCAUCACAUCACUCUUCUCUCCAAUCUCGUUGUUGGUUCGUUGUUGAUUUAGAGGAAUAUGGGGGAUUUCUCCGGAAAGAUGAACAUCGAGGACCUCUUAUCUUAUGGCGACGAUCUGGUGGCUUUAUUGAAGGACCAAAACGACGUUCAAACCUUGAAUCAAUGUCUCCAACAGUUCAACGCCCUUCAAUCUUCUUGUCACGAUGAUUCCCGUAAUGUUCACAGCUCAGUUCAAGAUUAUGAGAAGAAAAUCGAGGAAUGCCGGGUGAAAACAGAGGAGGCGAAAGCGAGAACUGUUGCAGACGAUGAAAUGGAUAUUCUUGAAAAGGAGAUCGAAGAGGAAGUUAGGGAAGAACAUUUGCUCAUGGAGGAGAUUAGACUUGUCACCAAUCAGAUUAAUGAGCUAGACCGACAAAGGAUUUCGGUUCAAGAAAGGAAGCAGGCAACGAAGAAACUUGAACAACAAGAACUUAGGGCGCAGAGGAAGCUUUCAAUGUAUGCAUCUGUCACUGAUAUCAUUCCAAACAUGGAUGAUCACUCCAAAAUAUCUGGCCGUAUCCUUCAUCUGAGAUGUCAUUGUAUCUAAUUAUGCUGUAGUUCUGAGACGAUAUUUUACGGUGAUAAUACUCAUUUGUUGAACAAGCAGCAACCAAGAAAGACGAGAUCUAGCCAUCAUCAGAAUCAUGAUAUCAGAUUCAGUUUCAGUAUGUUUCGUAAGAUGGAGUUCAGAAUAUCAGGUAAUGGCGGUCGUCGAGCAUUAUAGACCUGCAAGCAUCUGGUGCAGGACUGCCGUUGUAAGCUUUGCAGACAUAUGCCAUGAAGUUUUGGUAGUCCUGAUUCAG